This 23-nucleotide non-coding RNA is filed under the name Arabidopsis thaliana (thale cress). Lineage: Eukaryota; Viridiplantae; Streptophyta; Magnoliopsida; Brassicales; Brassicaceae. The record is from RNAcentral.
UGAUUCGUUGCAUUGUCUGUGUA